This is a non-coding RNA of Cinara cedri, 264 nucleotides long. NCBI's taxonomy places the organism in Eukaryota, Metazoa, Arthropoda, Insecta, Hemiptera, Aphididae. The record is from the annotation of a GenBank genome assembly.
GCCUCACGAUUUACUCCACAUAUCAGAAAUUGGUUUUUCUCUAGCUAUUAUAAAUAGUAUAAAUAGUUGUCCACUAGAAUAUAAAAUAUUAAUCUAAUAGUUAACAUAAAUACAAAAGUUUAAAUAGUACAAAAGAGUUUGUCUGUUUCUCUAUUUUGCAGUUAUUAUUGGAUUAUGAUACACCUAGGUAGUAAACUCGACCUAAACAGUAAUUUAUGAUGUAUCUACAGUGUUAUUAUAUACUGAACCUUAAUAGAUAUAAUG